GGUGGAAUUUGGGGUCAAGGGUUAAACUAGGAGGGAUCUUGUGUAACAUAUCGAGAACAAAGAAAAAAACUGGUGUAAAAGACUAUUUAAGCAGGCUAGAAUUUGAGUGAGACAGAAUUUUUCAGACAGAGAUGCUACUGGGGGUCUCCUGAAAGUUCUCCUUUGUUGUCGACAAUAAAGUAUAUUCUUCUGAUAUUCAUAACCUACAGACUGAGUUUGAUUCAUUAAGAGAAAAAUUGAAAACCACUACAAUAAGAACUUCAGUGACUGGUUUGCUUCUGUAUUUGGAUCAUGGUUGCUCAAGAUUGGAAUAUUCAUAGGAAUUGGUCUACUUGUUUUUGUAUUUCUCUUUUGUUGUGUUGUGCCUUUUCUCAGAUCGAUGCGUGUUAAAGCUGCUGCCAAGCAGAUGGCCAAUGUGCAAGUGAAUAGAAUUGUGCAUGACUGCAGAGACCAUGUCAAUGAAGUCUUUGGGCCAGAUUUGAACCAGUUGGGAGUUCAUUGAAGCUGCCAGAGCUCCUAUCAGAUGUACACGGGGAAAGAGGGAAGAUGAUUACGGUCAAGGGACACCUUGGUAUCCAAUGGCAAGAGAAGCAGAAGAGCAGACUCUACUGGCGGUUUAAAAACCCACUGUCUGCUCCAACACCAGACAGUACUCAGAAGUACCUCUGGCGACAUGGGAUAAAACAUCAGAUAUGGCUCUUUUACAGGCGCCGAGAAUAUUCUACAAAUAUAUGAUUUCUAUUAAAUGAUGAUUAAUCAAGUAUAUAUGCUGUAUACCAACAACUGUGAGCAAGGCUGACAAGCAUAUAUUUUUAACCUGACUAAUGAUUAUUGUGUGUUCAACUCCCCCCCCAAAAAAGUAUUCAGUUAGGGAGAGCGGGAUCUUUUACUCCUUCUAAAGUCAAAAGUGGAGGGAGAUGUUUGGUUCUGUUUCUCCUCUGAAGUGCGGCGCAAGGGUGCUGACAAUUGCAGGAUGUAGAUGGGCAACUUUUUGGUUGCACAAGUAUGUUAAGACUUUGCAAGUGUUGGAUUCUUAAGUUGCACUUCAGUGAGGGAUUUAGGAAAGGGACUUUUUUGAUUAAGUCCCUAAGGGAAUUAUAAUUAUAGAGGAAUUAGAAUUGUAGAGGAACUUUUAUUAUGUAAUCACUAUAUAAUCACUCUAUAAUCUGCCACUAUUAAAAUACACUGUUAAACAUAUAGAAAUACAUUCAAGUGAUGCAGAGUAAAACACACAGAAGUAAACAGCGGUGUAGUAAGACCAUUCAGACAGCAUAUGCAACACGUACUGAUGUAUUGACCAUGACAAAAACAACUUAAAAACAACUUUGCUCAACCUGCAAUGCAAUAGCAUGCAUAGGGAGAAUCUUUUAAAAAAAGUGUUGAAAUAUGACCUUUAAGAUAAGCAAAAACAGAAAAACAUACAGCCAUCAAUAUAAAGGCUAGAAUCCUAUUAGAGCCUGGAAAUAAUGUGAUGCUCAUGCUACACCACUGUUUCAUGAUGACUUAAAACCUGUAUAUAAACUGUGGGUUUUGGAACAUUUUUAGGAGCGAAAUCAAUCGACCAACUCUGCUGUAACAAUAAACUGCUUCAACUUGA
This is a non-coding RNA of Danio rerio (zebrafish), 1597 nucleotides long. The record is from RefSeq and is a predicted model, not a curated record. Lineage: Eukaryota; Metazoa; Chordata; Actinopteri; Cypriniformes; Danionidae.